Molecule: unclassified non-coding RNA, 336 nt
Organism: Erinaceus europaeus (western European hedgehog)
Lineage: Eukaryota; Metazoa; Chordata; Mammalia; Eulipotyphla; Erinaceidae
Gene: 7SK
Rfam family: 7SK RNA
About the family: 7SK was discovered as an abundant small nuclear RNA in the mid-70s but a possible function has only recently been suggested.
Source: Ensembl
GGAUGUGAGGGUGAUCUGGCUGCAACAUCUAUCACCUCAUUGAUGACUAGGGUUGAUUCAGCUGAUCUGGCUGGCUAGGCAGGUGUCCCCUUCCCCCUCACCACUCCAUGUGUGUCCCUCCUGAAGCUAAGCACUUGGUCGAAGAGGACGGCCUUCCCGGAAUAGAGACGGUCUUUGUUUGAGGUUAUAGGAGUAGCUGUGCUCCCCUGCUAGAACCUCCAAACAGCUCUCAAGAUGUCUAACUAAAAUAAAGUCAUACUUUUUGUGACUGUGGAUUUAUGAGAAUCACAUUUUAUUGUCAUAUGGUAUUGUAUUCAAAUUCUGAAAACAUGAAUC